This 478-nucleotide ribosomal RNA is filed under the name uncultured bacterium. RNAcentral describes it as "bacterial SSU rRNA". It matches the Rfam family "Bacterial small subunit ribosomal RNA", at positions 40 to 507 of the family's 1533-position model. The record is from RNAcentral.
CGGCAGGCCUAACACAUGCAAGUCGAACGGUAACAGGAAGAAGCUUGCUUCUUUGCUGACGAGUGGCGGACGGGUGAGUAAUGUCUGGGAAACUGCCUGAUGGAGGGGGAUAACUACUGGAAACGGUAGCUAAUACCGCAUAACGUCGCAAGACCAAAGAGGGGGACCUUCGGGCCUCUUGCCAUCGGAUGUGCCCAGAUGGGAUUAGCUAGUAGGUGGGGUAACGGCUCACCUAGGCGACGAUCCCUAGCUGGUCUGAGAGGAUGACCAGCCACACUGGAACUGAGACACGGUCCAGACUCCUACGGGAGGCAGCAGUGGGGAAUAUUGCACAAUGGGCGCAAGCCUGAUGCAGCCAUGCCGCGUGUAUGAAGAAGGCCUUCGGGUUGUAAAGUACUUUCAGCGGGGAGGAAGGGAGUAAAGUUAAUACCUUUGCUCAUUGACGUUACCCGCAGAAGAAGCACCGGCUAACUCCGUG